This 420-nucleotide ribosomal RNA is filed under the name uncultured bacterium. Its description in RNAcentral is "bacterial SSU rRNA". It matches the Rfam family "Bacterial small subunit ribosomal RNA", at positions 355 to 774 of the family's 1533-position model. The record is from RNAcentral.
UAAGGAAUAUUGCUCAAUGGGAGAAAUCCUGAAGCAGCAACGCCGCGUGGAGGAUGAAGGGUCUAUGACUUGUAAACUCCUGUAAAGAAGGAAAAAAUUCCCAUUAGAUGGGAGAUGAUGGUACUUCUGGAGUAAGCCCCGGCUAACUACGUGCCAGCAGCCGCGGUAAUACGUAGGGGGCAAGCGUUGUCCGGAUUUACUGGGUGUAAAGGGUGCUCAGGCGGAUUUGUAAGUCAGAGGUGAAAUCUUACAGCUUAACUGUGAAACUGCCUUUGAUACUGCAAGCCUAGAGUAUGGAAGAGAGUGAUGGAAUAUCUGGUGUAGCAGUGAAAUGCGUAGAUAUCAGAUAGAACACCAAUGGCGAAGGCAGUCACUUGGUCCAUUACUGACGCUAAAGCAUGAAAGCGUGGGUAGCAAACA